UCCAGGAAGCAGACCCGAGGCUCCCACACUGCAGGCAGAUUCUUAACUGUCUGAGCCGUCUUCGUAGGCUGAAAGCUAUUUGCUUCAUUCACCGCUGAGCAGCUAGAUUUCACCCAAGCUAUCCCCAGUUUUUCCUCGUUUCAAUGACAUCCAGAAAAAGACUCAUGACACAAAGACUUGUCUUCAGUCCUUUCCUUUGAUACCCAUCUGCUGAAGGACAGCGACUGAAUCAUCCGUGUCGUCUGCAGAACUCGUGUGGAGUUUGGCGUUUGCUACUUCGUCACACGGGGCCAUCUCUGCCUGAAGGGCUUUCCAUCACCCUCUCGAGUACGUGAGAGCCUCCUGUCUUCUCCUGCCGCCUCCUGUGUAGCCACGCCCAUGCGCUGAUCACCCUUGGUUUGAACUGUCUUCCAUAUAUUAUAUGAGCUCCUGGAGAAUCGAAACCGUGUCUGUCAUAGAUCAUAGACACCACCGGCAUAGCUCACCUGCCCAGAUCACUUUGCUAAUCUGUAAAACUCAGAUGUUAGUAAGAGUAAAUCUCCCAUGGGUUGUUCUGAGGAUUAAAUAAUAAUUAUACACGAGAGGCUUAAAACAGUGCCUGACACAUGGUGUCACUAGAGAUCUACUGAAUCAGGAUUACUAUGGUUGCAACCUAGAAAUUUGCAUUUUUAUCUAGCACACCUCCUCAUAUCUUUCUGGUAAAAUAAAAGCCUGAAAGGUGGUUAGAAUACAAUGCUAUCCAAUAUUGAACUAUUUAUUCAUUAUGCACACACCCAGAGAUACUGAAGAGGUUUCCAUCUUGGACCCUAGCUUUCAGAGCAGUCAUUCUAAUUUCAUUUCUGGAGUUACUGGCUAGAAUCAAUAUGUUAUUCCAUCAACAGACAGAGAGAAACAGAGAAUCACAGAAAGAGAAGAGGAGGGA
Molecule: non-coding RNA, 922 nt
Organism: Odocoileus virginianus texanus
Lineage: Eukaryota; Metazoa; Chordata; Mammalia; Artiodactyla; Cervidae
Source: RefSeq, a predicted model, not a curated record